Molecule: unclassified non-coding RNA, 759 nt
Filed under: Hevea brasiliensis (rubber tree)
Lineage: Eukaryota; Viridiplantae; Streptophyta; Magnoliopsida; Malpighiales; Euphorbiaceae
Source: RNAcentral
UGAAAGGUAGUGCUUGAGGCAUUAGGUCUAACUGCAGCCGCGUUGAGCUCCUUAACUGGGUACAAUUUUUGGGCUGCCAGGAGGGGCAAAGAUUCAGCUUCCUUGGGCCAAUCUUGUUCCCUUCGCUUGUUACCCUUGCCGCUGCCACUGUGCUGCAGGAAAAUUCUCAAAUUUUAUUUUGUAUCGAGUGUGGCCGUGUGGGCUUGGCUUAUACACGCACAAGUGGCUGAUAUAGUAGUUUUUGUGCUGUCAUGCAGAUAUUUUUCCCACUUUCCUCUGGCCCUGCAUCAUUAAUCUUCAGUGGAGCUGGUGCAAUGGCGUUCAUGGGUUAUGUUGUUUACGACACUGACAGGCUAAUCAAGUGCUUCAACUAUGAUCAGCACUUAACAGCCUCGGUACAUCUUUACUUGGACGUGAUAAACUUGUUCCUUUAUAUCAUGCGGACCAUGGUAGAGCUGACUGUGUAUAUCGAUGUAGACGCUGUGACUGAGGAGAUCGUUGGAGACUAGAAUCUUGGCGUAAUUGCGCAGAAGUUUUCUGGAAUGCGUUGGAAGCAGAACUAGCCUAUACUUGGCUUUGUUUUAAAGUUGAAACUUGGAAUUAGUGUUAGCCUAUGCCUGGCUUUGUGUGAUUACGCGAAGCUUUCUUAAUGCGUCAGGGUACAUGAUAAAGUUUCAACACUGAAUUUGUUGUGUAUCACACAAGACUUUCUAGUAGAUCCAAUCAUCCAACGAUUACAAUUAGCGUGUGGACUUGUUC